Molecule: ribosomal RNA, 253 nt
Filed under: uncultured bacterium
Lineage: Bacteria
Description: partial 16S ribosomal RNA
Rfam family: Bacterial small subunit ribosomal RNA
Source: RNAcentral
UACGUAGGGACCGAGCGUUGUCCGGAAUCAUUGGGCGUAAAGCGCGCGUAGGUGGCCACAUAAGUCCGUUGUGAAAGUCAAAGGCUCAACCUUUGAAAGCCGAUGGAUACUGUGUGGCUAGAGUACGGAAGAGGCGAGUGGAAUUCCUGGUGUAGCGGUGGAAUGCGCAGAUAUCAGGAGGAACACCGGUGGCGAAGGCGGGUCUCUGGGCCGAUACUGACGCUGAGGAGCGAAAGCGUGGGGAGCGAACAGG